Molecule: ribosomal RNA, 258 nt
Filed under: uncultured bacterium
Lineage: Bacteria
Description: partial 16S ribosomal RNA
Rfam family: Bacterial small subunit ribosomal RNA
Source: RNAcentral
UACAGAGGGUGCGAGCGUUGUCCGGAAUCACUGGGCGUAAAGGGCGCGUAGGUGGUGGCUUAAGCGUGCGGUGAAAGCUCGGGGCUCAACUCCGAGUCGGCCGUGCGAACUGGGCUCACUGGAGCAUAGUAGAGGCAGGUGGAAUUCCCGGUGUAGUGGUGGAAUGCGUAGAUAUCGGGAGGAACACCAGUGGCGAAGGCGGUUGCCUGGGGCUUUUGCUGACGCUGAGGCGCGAAAAGCGUGGGGGAGCAAACAGGG